RNAcentral lists this ribosomal RNA (468 nucleotides) under uncultured bacterium. RNAcentral's name for it is "partial 16S ribosomal RNA". It matches the Rfam family "Bacterial small subunit ribosomal RNA", at positions 28 to 507 of the family's 1533-position model. The record is from RNAcentral.
GACGAACGCUGGCGGCGUGCUUAACACAUGCAAGUCGAACGGAAAGACCCUGCUUUUGUGGGGUGCUCUAGUGGCGAACGGGUGAGUAACACGUGAGUAACCUGCCCUUGACUUUGGGAUAACUUCUGAAAAAUGGGUCUAAUACCGGAUAGUAGCUCCUGCUGCAUGGUGGGGGUUGGAAAUUUGCGGCGGUUUGGGUUGGACUCGGGGCUUAUAUGCUUGUUGGUGGGGUAGUGGCAUACCAAGGCUUUGACGGGUAGCCGGCAUGAGAGGGUGAACGGGCACCUUGGGACUGAGAUAGGGCGCAGAGUGCAACGGGAGGCAGUGGUCGGGAAUAUUGCACAAUGGGCGGAAGUGUGAUGCAGAGACGCCGCGUGUGUGAAGACGGCCUUUGGGUUGUAAACCGCUUUCGGCUGUGACGAAGGGUUAGUGACGGUAAUGGGUAAAGAAGCACCGGCUAACUACGUG